AGAGUUUGAUCAUGGCUCAGGAUGAACGCUAGCGGCAGGCUUAAUACAUGCAAGUCGAGGGGCAGCAGGACUGUAGCAAUACAGUUGCUGGCGACCGGCAAACGGGUGCGGAACACGUACGCAACCUACCCAAAACUGGGGAAUAGCCCGGGGAAACCCGGAUUAAUACCUCGUAACAUAAUGAAGUGGCAUCACUUUAUUAUUAUAGCUCCGGCGGUUUUGGAUGGGCGUGCGCCUGAUUAGGUAGUUGGCGGGGUAACGGCCCACCAAGCCUGCGAUCAGUAACUGGUGUGAGAGCACGACCAGUCACACGGGCACUGAGACACGGGCCCGACUCCUACGGGAGGCAGCAGUAAGGAAUAUUGGUCAAUGGACGCAAGUCUGAACCAGCCAUGCCGCGUGAAGGAUGAAGGUCCUCUGGAUUGUAAACUUCUUUUAUAUGGGACGAAACCCGGGAAUUCUUUCCCGACUGACGGUACCAUAGGAAUAAGCACCGGCUAACUCCGUGCCAGCAGCCGCGGUAAUACGGAGGGUGCAAGCGUUAUCCGGAUUCACUGGGUUUAAAGGGUGCGUAGGAGGGCAGGUAAGUCAGUGGUGAAAUCUCCGAGCUUAACUCGGAAACUGCCGUUGAUACUAUCUGUCUUGAAUAUUGUGGAGGUGAGCGGAAUAUGUCAUGUAGCGGUGAAAUGCUUAGAUAUGACAUAGAACACCAAUUGCGAAGGCAGCUCGCUACACAUAUAUUGACUCUGAGGCACGAAAGCGUGGGGAUCAAACAGGAUUAGAUACCCUAGUAGUCC
Molecule: ribosomal RNA, 797 nt
Filed under: uncultured bacterium
Lineage: Bacteria
Description: bacterial SSU rRNA
Rfam family: Bacterial small subunit ribosomal RNA
Source: RNAcentral